GCCUUAUGCAUGCAAGUCGAGCGAAGCUUUUCAGUAGUUUACUACAGAAAAUGACUGAGCGGCGAACGGGUGAGUAACGCGUGAGCAAUCUACCUUAGUUACAGGGAUAGCCCGAGGAAACUCGGAUUAAUACCUGAUAUUCUUUGUUUCUCGCAUGAGAAUAAAAGGAAAGGUCAGCCGAACUAAGAUGAGCUCGCGUUCUAUCAGCUAGUUGGUGAGGUAAAAGCUCACCAAGGCUACGACGGAUAGCUGGUCUGAGAGGACGAUCAGCCACACUGGGACUGAGACACGGCCCAGACUCCUACGGGAGGCUGCAGCAGGGAAUAUUGCGCAAUGAGCGAAAGCUUGACGCAGCGACACCGCGUGUGGGAUGACGGAUCUAGGUUUGUAAACCACUUUCAGGAGGGAAGAAAAUGACGGUACCUCCACAAGAAGCCCCGGCCAACUACGUGCCAGCAGCCGCGGUAAUACGUANGGGGCGAGCGUUGUCCGGAUUUAUUGGGCGUAAAGAGCUC
RNAcentral lists this ribosomal RNA (515 nucleotides) under uncultured bacterium. RNAcentral's name for it is "bacterial SSU rRNA". It matches the Rfam family "Bacterial small subunit ribosomal RNA", at positions 46 to 570 of the family's 1533-position model. The record is from RNAcentral.